UGCUAUUUUGAACACAGCCAAUGUAAGAUUAGUAGUUGGAAUAGCUUUAAGAACUAGUAUGGGUUACUAGCAGCACAUCUAUCAGCUUAUCAAAACAUUUCAAAUGCUCAUGUCAUGAGAUGCAACUUUCCUGAGGAAACCGUCUUGUCGGUUUAAUAGAUUCAGUGUGAACACUACCAAGUUUGGUUUGUAGAUGUGGCUGAAGAGCAUUAAGCAUGUGUGAAAUGGUCGAAUCGUGUUCGCGUUUUCAAGGAUUUCAAAGGCUCACGGUGUACAGAGACCUGCAAACCUCCACCCACAAUCGCUCAGAUCUGCACAACCUUCCCUCUCAUGCUGUUUCUUGUCUCAUAUUUCGGCAGGCACAUUUCCCAUUUAAAGUUUAUUGUCGUUGUCAUUACCACAUCCGUCCACUUGGUGGUGGUGUUUCGCUGCUGUUUGAUAAGGAUGUUCAGUUUACCAACUACGUUUUCAUUGCAGCACAUGGGUAAGGGAGAUGACACUAUACGCGAGGCACUUCACCAUCUUAGAGACCUAAUGGAUUAUGCACAUCUCUUCACAUUUGACAUGAACCCAAUAUAUGUACCAAAUGUGCAUAUUGAAAGCGGAGAGAUGUGCAGCUGUAAAGAAUUCAUUGCUCAAGAGCUUCUCAAGACAUUAGUUUCAGCAGAAAUCACUGAUCAAGACGGCGCUGUCGAACCACGCACUGCCCUUAGACUCUUACAGCACAAUAUCAGAUUUCUCCUUCAGAAUUUGAUCGGAGAACACUGUCUAAAAGACAAAGUCAUGGUUCGCAAGGUUAAUUUGAGGACUAAUCAAGAGCUGAUGUUCAUCCGUCGAUGUUUCGCAUUUUUCCAAGACUGGAUGUCCAAAUGCCUAACCAGCAGUGACUUUUGAUUCAUUCACUUUGACUUCUAUUUAGUUGAUUGCAAUAAAUAGCUGUUUAAAUGUCUAUCUCUUGCUUUUAUACAGGAAAUGGCUUAACAGGACAACCUAAAAGUUGAAAUCUAAUAAUAAGUGCUUUCGACCACAUGUUACUAUGUGAUUUCUUUAAUAAUACUGCAAUAAAUAAUAAUGUGUGACCGUAA
Ctenopharyngodon idella (grass carp) is the source of this 1085-nucleotide long non-coding RNA. RefSeq lists it as uncharacterized. The record is from RefSeq and is a predicted model, not a curated record. Lineage: Eukaryota; Metazoa; Chordata; Actinopteri; Cypriniformes; Xenocyprididae. The transcript has 6 exons.